CCCUGCUCCCUCUUCUUCCCUCACGGCGCUCCGAGUCCCUCAAGGAGCAGCGCCAGCACCUGCCGGGCUUCCCCGCUGCGGCGCCGGACGACGAGCACGCCAGAGCCCGCCUGAUGAGUGCCCGCCUGCCGCGCCGCACAGACCACUGAGCCCAGUGAUCCAGUCUUAUGCUUGGAGGGACUGUGACAGGUGUACAUGCCCAAAGGAAACACAGAAGGAGAAAAUCUACAGACUGAAACAAGGAGGACAGGGGGCAAAUUGUGGAAAUACUUCAUGCCUAGAACGUCGCUGAGGUAAGUGAAAUUUAAGCAUGUGAACCUUGCCAAAAUACAAGUUACCAGCUCCUAUUCCAAAAUUGCAACAUCCUGGUAGAUGAAGCGUUUGUAAAUAGUGACAUGGCUAAAAAGAAAUGGAUGCUGAUAGUUGGGAGAUAUGAUGGGAUUCAAUUUGCAUUAAGGAAAGGGUCAUGUAGUGAUGCAAUAUCAAAUUAUGUGUGAGAAAAUGAAUUGAUUUAGAUAUCAAUUGUAUGAGAUGGGAAGCUACAGUUCAUGCCUGGAACUUCCUGUUGUAGGCAGGUUAUAUUUACCUGGUCAAGUUUGAGAACAUCUGGGGCCUGGAGCAGUGCAGGUAAGCCCUGAAAACCAAGGAUCUCUGAUGGUAUUGUGCUGGUAUUAUGCUCUUGGUAUACCACACACACACAA
Taeniopygia guttata (zebra finch) is the source of this 701-nucleotide non-coding RNA. NCBI's taxonomy places the organism in Eukaryota, Metazoa, Chordata, Aves, Passeriformes, Estrildidae. The record is from RefSeq and is a predicted model, not a curated record.